UGGCGAGUAAUGUAAUGGUAGCAUAUGAGGUUUUGAUCCUUAGAGUGCAGGUUCGAAUCCUGCCUCGCCAG
RNAcentral lists this transfer RNA (71 nucleotides) under Acetohalobium arabaticum DSM 5501. It matches the Rfam family "tRNA". From Rfam's summary of the family: Transfer RNA (tRNA) molecules are approximately 80 nucleotides in length. Their secondary structure includes four short double-helical elements and three loops (D, anti-codon, and T loops). The record is from Rfam by way of RNAcentral. Lineage: Bacteria; Bacillati; Bacillota; Clostridia; Halanaerobiales; Halobacteroidaceae.